RNAcentral lists this ribosomal RNA (468 nucleotides) under uncultured bacterium. RNAcentral's name for it is "partial 16S ribosomal RNA". It matches the Rfam family "Bacterial small subunit ribosomal RNA", at positions 28 to 507 of the family's 1533-position model. The record is from RNAcentral.
GACGAACGCUGGCGGCGUGCUUAACACAUGCAAGUCGAACGGAAAGGCCCUGCUUUUGUGGGGUGCUCGAGUGGCGAACGGGUGAGUAACACGUGAGUAACCUGCCCUUGACUUUGGGAUAACUUCAGGAAACUGGGGCUAAUACCGGAUAGGAGCUCCUGCUGCAUGGUGGGGGUUGGAAAGUUUCGGCGGUUGGGGAUGGACUCGCGGCUUAUCAGCUUGUUGGUGGGGUAGUGGCUUACCAAGGCUUUGACGGGUAGCCGGCCUGAGAGGGUGACCGGCCACAUUGGGACUGAGAUACGGCCCAGAGUCCUACGGGAGGCAGAAGUGGGGAAUAUUGCACAAUGGGCGGAAGCCUGAUGCAGCAACGCCGCGUGCGGGAUGACGGCCUUCGGGUUGUAAACCGCCUUCGCCUGUGACGAAGCGUGAGUGACGGUAAUGGGUAAAGAAGCACCGGCUAACUACGUG